GAAACACAGGGUAAUACCGGAUACGACCUUUAGAUUGCGGUCUAGAGGGGAAAGUCGCUUAGGCGACGCCCUAAGCUGAGCCUGCGGCUGAUUAGCUAGUUGGUAGGGUAAUGGCCUACCAAGGCGACGAUGAGUAGCCGGCCUGAGAGGGUGAUCGGCCACACUGGGACUGAGACACGGCCCAGACUCCUACGGGAGGCAGCAGCUAAGAAUCUUCCGCAAUGGGGGGAACCCUGACGGAGCGACGCCGCGUGGACGAAGAAUGCCGGAAGGUUGUAAAGUCCUUUUCCUGGGGGAGAAUAAUGAGUGGAGGGAAUGCCAUUCAGAUGACGUGAACCAGGGAAUAAGCCCCGGCUAAUUACGUGCCAGCAGCCGCGGUAACACGUAAGGGGCGAGCGUUGUUCGGAUUUAUUGGGCGUAAAGGGCNUGUAGGCGGUAAUGUAANUCUGGUGUNAAAUACCUCGGCUCAACCGAGGAGGUGCGCUGGAAACUGUGUUACUUGAGUGAUGGAGGGGGAGCUGGAAUUCCUGGUGUAGGGGUGAAAUCUGUAGAGAUCAGGAAGAGCACCGGAGGCGAAGGCGAGCU
This 585-nucleotide ribosomal RNA is filed under the name uncultured bacterium. Its description in RNAcentral is "bacterial SSU rRNA". It matches the Rfam family "Bacterial small subunit ribosomal RNA", at positions 153 to 727 of the family's 1533-position model. The record is from RNAcentral.